UCCUACGGGAGGCAGCAGUGAGGAAUAUUGGUCAAUGGGCGCAAGCCUGAACCAGCCAAGUCGCGUGAGGGAUGACGGUCCUAUGGAUUGUAAACCUCUUUUGUCGGGGAGCAAAAGCCGGACGUGUCCGGCUGUGAGAGUACCCGAAGAAAAAGCAUCGGCUAACUCCGUGCCAGCAGCCGCGGUAAUACGGAGGAUGCGAGCGUUAUCCGGAUUUAUUGGGUUUAAAGGGUGCGCAGGCGGAUUUUUAAGUCAGCGGUCAAAUCGUGGGGCUCAACCCCAUCCAGCCGUUUAAACUGGGGAUU
RNAcentral lists this ribosomal RNA (305 nucleotides) under uncultured bacterium. RNAcentral describes it as "bacterial SSU rRNA". It matches the Rfam family "Bacterial small subunit ribosomal RNA", at positions 337 to 641 of the family's 1533-position model. The record is from RNAcentral.